UUUCUUAUAAAUGGAAAAUAACAAAUGAAAUGUUUAAAAAAAAUAUAUAAUCAAAUAUCAAUAGGAGUAUUACAUUUGAAGAUUUAGACGAUGCCCGCAUUAUGCUGUUCGUAUAAAAUAUUGUAUGCUGUACGCGAAUUGCUACGACCGCGCCGACACUUGGCGCACUUGAAUAGCAUACAAACUACUGUAAAAUAGAACGUGUAAGAUUUAGAACAAAAGAAUUUCGGAGCCAAUGAAGCAACUACAACGAUACAAUAUUAUCGAAAACGAAAUCCUUUGAAUUUAUUUCUUUUUUUCUUUUUAAUUUUGUAUUAUAAAAAUGUUAAAAUGAAUUCCUUUAGGAAGGAAUAAUUGAUAUAAUUUAAAAGAUGACAAUAUUUUUACGUGCGUACAACGAAAAUAUCGGAUCGACAAAUAACUGAUGAUUAUAAAAUAUCACUUAAAUUAAUUAGUCCUUUGUUAAACAAAAGAUUAUAUUUUUUAUCUAAUAAUAAUUCCAAAAGCUUUUCUAUCUAGCUGAUUUAUUUUGAGGAUUUUUUAAACUUCGCAUUUGCGUGUCACAUAUCGAUAAUAACAUAGUUAAUGCAGGCGCACAAUUAUUAUCCCAACGUUAUCCAUAACUGCACAAUGACAUCGUCAAUCUCACCUUGGAUGGUGAUAUUGCGAAGCCAAAUAGCCCCCGUGAUUGCAGUUGACUCCUCCGUCACAGCUAAUGUUCCGUAAAUCAUGAACGAGGCCGUUAAAUAUUUUCACGAUCUUCCACCGCACCAAUGUUUUUUCUCUUUAUAAGUUUUUUUUUGUUUCCGUUCCUCUUAGAAAAUUUCUACUCUGCACUACGUCGUCGUAAUUAUUCUUUGAUCGACCCGUUCUCGAUAUCGUUCGAGUUCACCCCCUGCAACUGGUAUACAAAAGGAGACCACAACGAUCCUUCAUCGACGUUUUUUUUCCCGUAAACUUAUAUUGAGUGCGCUUGCUUAAAGAAAAAGGAUAUUAAACUUUUCUGACGAUGUUUUCUUAAGUUAUCACUGAUGACCGAAUGUUGGAACGUUAAUAAAAAGAUGUAUACAACAAGGGUACAUGGUACAUUCCUUCUUCUUAAACAUAUUCCACCAAACAACAAGUAAAUUUCUUCUUAGAUGUUUUAACGAGGAUGUUCUUCGUCCUAUUUGAAUACCACCGACGUCUCAUUUCUUUCAGAUAUUAUUUUUUAUUCACGUUUUAAUUUCUUUCUUUUCUUCUUCUUCUUCUUUAUAAAGUUAGAAUCUCUCUAAUGUUAAGAUAUUGAAUAUAUUUUCAUUCGUUUUGAUUCGUUUGCCGUUAUCACCCUCUGAUUAUUAUUUCAUUUUCGUCAUAGCUCUAAAUUAACGCCGAUCUUUGGAUCGACCUUUUCUCAGCACUUUAUUGAAAGAAGUUCCUCGUAAGAAUACGGAACGUUGAGUCGAGCCUUGCGCACUGCCAUUGACACGAGAUCCAUUUUGACCCUCGACCCAUUUUACUGCCACCCUCCCUCCUCCCCCUCACCACUUUUCAUCAACCUGCUGCUUCGAGACCUACCGAUACGGCUUCGAACAUUCUAAAUUACAAACGGAUUAUUCUUCCUUCGUGCUUUCGAUUUUUUUACAUUGAUGAAUAUCUCUGGAAGUAACUUCUGAAGAAUAUAAGCUGUGAUUUUCUUCAAAAUACUUUUAAUUCACAUAGAAAAGAAGAUGGAUUGAACAAAGAUAUGU
RNAcentral lists this unclassified non-coding RNA (1730 nucleotides) under Polistes canadensis. RNAcentral describes it as "thioredoxin, mitochondrial, transcript variant X1". Lineage: Eukaryota; Metazoa; Arthropoda; Insecta; Hymenoptera; Vespidae. The record is from RNAcentral.